GUUUCAGCCGCCGCGGUAAUACGUAGGAGGCAAGCGUUAUCCGGAUUCACUGGGCGUAAAGCGCACGCAGGCGGUCAUGUAAGUCGGACGUGAAAGCUCCUGGCUCAACUGGGAGAGGUCGUUCGAUACUGCAUGGCUUGAGGUUGGGAGAGGGAAGCGGAAUUCCCGGUGUAGUGGUGGAAUGCGUAGAUAUCGGGAGGAACACCAGUGGCGAAAGCGGCUUCCUGGCCCAUACCUGACGCUCAGGUGCGAAAGCGUGGGGAGCGAACGGGAUUAGAUACCCCGGUAGUCC
Molecule: ribosomal RNA, 292 nt
Filed under: uncultured bacterium
Lineage: Bacteria
Description: partial 16S ribosomal RNA
Rfam family: Bacterial small subunit ribosomal RNA
Source: RNAcentral